CAAUAGCGUAUAUUAAAGUUGUUGCAGUUAAAAAGCUCGUAGUUGGAUUUGUGGUGUACGGUGGGUUCCGGGCACUUGUUGUCUGAGUAACUUGCUGUUGCCAUCCUUGGGUGGAACCUGUGUGGCAUUAGGUUGUCGUGCAGGGGAUGCCCAUCAUUUACUGUGAAAAAAUUAGAGUGUUCAAAGCAGGCUUAUGCCGUUGAAUAUAUUAGCAUGGAAUAAUGAGAUAGGACUUUUUUGCUAUUUUGUUGGUUUGCGCAAAGAGGUAAUGAUUAAUAGGGACAGUUGGGGGUAUUCGUAUUCCAUUGUCAGAGGUGAAAUUCUUGGAUUUUUGGAAGACGAACUACUGCGAAAGCAUUUACCAAGGAUGUUUUCAUUAA
This 380-nucleotide ribosomal RNA is filed under the name uncultured eukaryote. RNAcentral describes it as "partial 18S ribosomal RNA". It matches the Rfam family "Eukaryotic small subunit ribosomal RNA", at positions 592 to 976 of the family's 1831-position model. The record is from RNAcentral.